This 56-nucleotide transfer RNA is filed under the name Bos taurus (domestic cattle). It matches the Rfam family "tRNA", at positions 8 to 63 of the family's 71-position model. Rfam says of the family: Transfer RNA (tRNA) molecules are approximately 80 nucleotides in length. RNAcentral also lists the same sequence under 2 other names. Lineage: Eukaryota; Metazoa; Chordata; Mammalia; Artiodactyla; Bovidae. The record is from Rfam by way of RNAcentral.
UAGCUCAGAGGUUAAAGCGUCUGCCUGCAAUGCAGGAGACCUGGGUUUGAACCCUG